RNAcentral lists this long non-coding RNA (726 nucleotides) under Brassica napus (rape). RNAcentral describes it as "long non-coding RNA (BNAP_LNC023805)". The record is from RNAcentral. Lineage: Eukaryota; Viridiplantae; Streptophyta; Magnoliopsida; Brassicales; Brassicaceae.
GAACGAUCUAAUUUAUUCAAUGACUUCCAAUGCUUUUAUUGCUCAACAAACAACUAUUAAAACGGAAACAGAACUGACUCAUUCUAAACUAAUGAGAACAUGUCUCUUAUUCCUAUAAUGACGCAAAGACUCAAACAUACUUAUUACUCAAAGAUCAAGGUACAUAGAAGUGACAUGGCUCUUGAGUUUUCCACCAGGACGGGUAAAUUCAUCACCAAUUUCGUAGCUAACAUUCGUUAUACGUUGAUAGUUAAGCAUUUCUUUUAUAAUUUGGCGUCGCAUAUUAGUUGGCUUCAAAAGCUCCUCGUUUAUCAUCUUAUUAGCGUUUGCAAUAAUUUGAUGAAGCUUUUCAAAUGCUUCUUUUUCGGUAACUCCAUAUUGCUUCUUGUAACAGUUGAUCGAGUUCGUGACAUAUCCUCUGCUCAUGUCAUCCUAAUGAAUGUCACACAUGUACGAUUGAUUAUUAAUAAACAACAUAUGAAUUACUAGAAUAAAAAUAACUUUCCACCAUGUGUACCUCGAGCCAUGAAUAUCAUUCAGCACUCUUGUUACUGUAUACAUUGCUAUCACAAGUUUGUCUCCAGAUUUCAACCACUCAUAGGCUUCUUUCUUGCAGAUAUCUUUCAUAGCCAUCAAAACACCUGCUAUAGUAAAAUCCACAGCAACUUCGACUCCAGCGACUUCUAGAUACUCCUCAAAACUAGGGACGUGAUCCGCUUCUACCCA